Molecule: ribosomal RNA, 362 nt
Filed under: uncultured bacterium
Lineage: Bacteria
Description: partial 16S ribosomal RNA
Rfam family: Bacterial small subunit ribosomal RNA
Source: RNAcentral
CCUACGGGAGGCAGCAGUGAGGAAUAUUGCUCAAUGGGCGGAAGGCUGACGCAGCCAUGCCGCGUGAAGGUCAGUGCCCUUCGGGCGUUAAACUUCUUUUGUUAGGGAGCAAUACUGGUCACUUGUGGCCAGACGAGAGUACCGUACGAAUAAGCAUCGGCUAACUCCGUGCCAGCAGCCGCGGUAACACGGGGGAGGCAAGCGUUAUCGGGAGUUAUUGGGGUUAAAGGGUGCGUAGGCUGGGAGGUAAGUCAGCGGGGAAAUGCCCCGGCCCAACGGGGGGAAGUGCCUUUGAUACUGGCGUGCUGGAAUGCUGAAGGCGUGGGAAGAAUGCGUGGUGUAGCGGUGAAAUGCGUAGAUAU